Molecule: long non-coding RNA, 791 nt
Filed under: Macaca mulatta (Rhesus monkey)
Lineage: Eukaryota; Metazoa; Chordata; Mammalia; Primates; Cercopithecidae
Description: lncRNA (ENSMMUG00000055264.1)
Source: RNAcentral
GUAUCAUGCUGUAACAGAAAAACCUAUGGUCACAGGAAAAGAAAAGGCUGGAAAACAUCUAAGCAGGGAAUGCUGUGGCCGAUGAAUAGGCAUGGUGGGAUCCUCUCACAAGGAUUCCGGUGAGUAUGAGGAACUAGUAAUUACACACUUCUCUACUUCCUUCUAUCAUUUAGGAGAUAAAUAAAAUUCAAGAUACCUCAGGCCCUCAGCAAGUCACGUCUGGAUGACAAGAAAACAAGAAAACGUGAUGCUGUCUGAGCAACUGGUACAGGAAGCCUGGACUCAUCACUGAGGAAAUCAGAGCUUCUUUGCAAAAGAUGGUGACAAUCUGUGGCCAAGAUGCUGCCGGAAGAUGACUACAGGCACAGGAGAGGAGUUUCAGGCAGUUCCACUAAGAAAGUUCCCAUCUCAAGAGGAUGCUGUUUGAUUUCUUGUUAUUUGCCAUCUGUGUGAUCCACGGGGAAAAAAAAGGUAUUAAAGAAGAGAAGCAUAUUAAUGUUAUUACUCCUUUCUAACUUUACAGAGUGGCUAUUCUUUUAAAUUCUUUUGAGACAAACACCUGAAAGAAAAUAUUGAUAUGUGAGAUAAGCAAUAAGCAGUGUUUGAACACAUGCAUAUGUUAAAGGACACCAUUAAAAUGAAAAAUAACUCUAGAAAGGAAACAAAGCAUGCAAAAUUGCCUUAUGUGGCUUGCUAGAAGUAAAAUAAAUGUUGAAAAACUAGAGUUUGCUUCUUAAAAAGCAAGCAGAGCUAAAGGUAUAUCUUGCAAUAUAUAGUUUACUAGUGACAAA